This 421-nucleotide long non-coding RNA is filed under the name Homo sapiens (human). Its description in RNAcentral is "non-protein coding PRR7-AS1:5". Lineage: Eukaryota; Metazoa; Chordata; Mammalia; Primates; Hominidae. The record is from RNAcentral.
CACGUGCCUCGGCCGUGAGGAGGAGGAGGGAUGCAAGCUUCGCUCCUCUACCCUGGUGCCCAGCAGGCGUACACCACCACAUGCCUACUAGGAAGCCACGGGGAGGAGGACCUAGUGCCGAACCCACAGCCCUGGCCUCCGUGGACAUGCCUCCCCCCUACCCCAGCAGGGAACAGAUGACCCCUAGAGAGCGCCCCACUGUCUACCCCGAGGUCCAAGCUUGCAGAGGCCACUCUGAAGUUGGCUGUCCAUCGGCCUCUUAACUGGGCUGUUUUUCGUCCAACUUCUCUACUGCACUUAAGAUGAUUUGCCAAAAACCCCUCCACCACCAUAUUAGCUGGAACAUUUGGGGUUGAAGUGACAGAACUCCCAAACAAAUAGGUUUGAGCUGUACCCCGUCUCUACCAAAAAAAAAAAAAAA